GAUGAACGCUGGCGGCGUGCUUAACACAUGCAAGUCGAGCGAGAAGUUUUGAAAAGAUUCUUCGGAUGAAAUUUAAAAUGGAAAGCGGCGGACGGGUGAGUAACGCGUAGGCAACCUGCCCCAUACAAAGGGAUAGCAUUUGGAAACGAAUAUUAAUACCUUAUGAAACUUAACUAGUGCAUGCUAGGUAGGUCAAAGAUUUAUCGGUAUGGGAUGGGCCUGCGUCUGAUUAGCUAGUUGGUGAGGUAACGGCUCACCAAGGCGACGAUCAGUAGCCGACCGGAGAGGGUGAACGGCCACAUUGGAACGGAGGCACGGUCCAAGCUCCUACGGGAAGCAGCAGCAGGGAAUAUUGAGCAAUGGGGGAAGACCUGAGGCAGCAACGGCGCGUGAAAGAAGAAGGCCUUUGGGUGGUAAAGUUCUGUUCUAGGUGAUGAAAACUGACAGUAACCUAGGAGAAAGCCCCGGCUAACUCCGUG
RNAcentral lists this ribosomal RNA (479 nucleotides) under uncultured bacterium. Its description in RNAcentral is "partial 16S ribosomal RNA". It matches the Rfam family "Bacterial small subunit ribosomal RNA", at positions 28 to 507 of the family's 1533-position model. The record is from RNAcentral.